UUUAUGGAGAGUUUGAUCCUGGCUCAGGAUGAACGCUGGCGGCGUGCCUAAUACAUGCAAGUCGAGCGAACGGACGAGAAGCUUGCUUCUCUGAUGUUAGCGGCGGACGGGUGAGUAACACGUGGAUAACCUACCUAUAAGACUGGGAUAACUUCGGGAAACCGGAGCUAAUACCGGAUAAUAUUUUGAACCGCAUGGUUCAAAAGUGAAAGACGGUCUUGCUGUCACUUAUAGAUGGAUCCGCGCUGCAUUAGCUAGUUGGUAAGGUAACGGCUUACCAAGGCAACGAUGCAUAGCCGACCUGAGAGGGUGAUCGGCCACACUGGAACUGAGACACGGUCCAGACUCCUACGGGAGGCAGCAGUAGGGAAUCUUCCGCAAUGGGCGAAAGCCUGACGGAGCAACGCCGCGUGAGUGAUGAAGGUCUUCGGAUCGUAAAACUCUGUUAUUAGGGAAGAACAUAUGUGUAAGUAACUGUGCACAUCUUGACGGUACCUAAUCAGAAAGCCACGGCUAACUACGUGCCAGCAGCCGCGGUAAUACGUAGGUGGCAAGCGUUAUCCGGAAUUAUUGGGCGUAAAGCGCGCGUAGGCGGUUUUUUAAGUCUGAUGUGAAAGCCCACGGCUCAACCGUGGAGGGUCAUUGGAAACUGGAAAACUUGAGUGCAGAAGAGGAAAGUGGAAUUCCAUGUGUAGCGGUGAAAUGCGCAGAGAUAUGGAGGAACACCAGUGGCGAAGGCGACUUUCUGGUCUGUAACUGACGCUGAUGUGCGAAAGCGUGGGGAUCAAACAGGAUUAGAUACCCUGGUAGUCCACGCCGUAAACGAUGAGUGCUAAGUGUUAGGGGGUUUCCGCCCCUUAGUGCUGCAGCUAACGCAUUAAGCACUCCGCCUGGGGAGUACGACCGCAAGGUUGAAACUCAAAGGA
This 926-nucleotide ribosomal RNA is filed under the name Staphylococcus aureus. RNAcentral's name for it is "bacterial SSU rRNA". It matches the Rfam family "Bacterial small subunit ribosomal RNA", at positions 1 to 908 of the family's 1533-position model. The record is from RNAcentral. Lineage: Bacteria; Bacillati; Bacillota; Bacilli; Caryophanales; Staphylococcaceae.